UGCAGUCGAGGGGUACAGGGUAGCAAUACUGCUGACGACCGGCGCACGGGUGCGUAACGCGUAUGCAACCUACCUUUAACUGGGGGAUAGCCCCGAGAAAUCGGGAUUAAUACCGCAUAACACUGUGAUAUGGCAUCAUAUUACAGUUAAAACUCCGGUGGUUAAAGAUGGGCAUGCGUGACAUUAGUUAGUUGGUAGGGUAACGGCUUACCAAGACUACGAUGUCUAGGGGUUCUGAGAGGAUGAUCCCCCACACUGGUACUGAGACACGGACCAGACUCCUACGGGAGGCAGCAGUAAGGAAUAUUGGUCAAUGGACGCAAGUCUGAACCAGCCAUGCCGCGUGCAGGAAGACGGCCCUAUGGGUUGUAAACUGCUUUUAUAUAGGAAUAAACUCAUGUUCGUGAACAUGACUGAAGGUACUAUAAGAAUAAGGACCGGCUAACUCCGUGCCAGCAGCCGCGGUAAUACG
RNAcentral lists this ribosomal RNA (472 nucleotides) under uncultured bacterium. Its description in RNAcentral is "bacterial SSU rRNA". It matches the Rfam family "Bacterial small subunit ribosomal RNA", at positions 56 to 527 of the family's 1533-position model. The record is from RNAcentral.